Molecule: non-coding RNA, 2378 nt
Organism: Coffea arabica (coffee)
Lineage: Eukaryota; Viridiplantae; Streptophyta; Magnoliopsida; Gentianales; Rubiaceae
Source: RefSeq, a predicted model, not a curated record
UGGUCGUGUCCACUGCGUGAACUGAAUGAGACCAAAAAGCCACCGCUCUCCUAAGUCCUUCCUUCUGUUGGCGUUGGCCCCCACCCCGCCUGCCCUGCCUUCUAGCUCCGCUUCCCCAUCACCUCCUUUGCUUAGGCUACAAAUAAAGCCCAUGCUCCUUAAGGUUUCUUCCAACUUCCUCUUCCUCGUCAAAGUUUCUGGUCUUUUGCCGGCUUUCCUUUGACAACUGGGGAGUGGGGAAUCUUUAUCUAAGUUGAAUUCAUCACUCAAAGUGGUUUCCUUUACUGACCCUUUCUCGAAAAUACUCUACUUCCGUUUAUAUUCAUUCAAAAGAUUAUAUAUAUACAUAUAUAGAAAAGAAAAAGAAAAAAUCUAGCUUCUUGCCCCUCCCUUUUGUAGCAGUCAGGGAUUACGUUGAAAAAGAGGAAAGCUUUUUGUAUCUAUGGGGGGAGCUCCAGCUUUCGUUGCAGAUGAUCUACCUGGAGAUUAUCCUAAUGGAUUUGACUUGAAAUCCGAAGGCCACAAUACGGUUGUUAAUGUUGGAAAUAAAACAUAUUUAAUUGGUGGGACUGACCAUGGAUCAAAAUCCACGAUUGGAGUUCGGGUUUCUGAUAAACGUACUGGAGGAUGGGUUACACCCACUGUAUUGGGAACAAGACCGAAACCAUCUGAAGUGAUUUCAGCUGUGAUUUUGAAUGAGGAUCGGAUUUUCAUUCUCAAGGGGGAUUCUAGCCCAGAUGACUGCUUUUGGUUCCUUGAGAUCCACCAUGAACAGGUAGACACACCCUUUGUCCAAGAGAAGAGAAAGGAAUUUGGAACUGAGGUGGUUGCAUGGAGCAAAGGAGUUGUAGGUGAUGCUAAAAAGCCAAUCGUUAUCAGUGGGCCUUCUGGAGUUGGUAAGGGUACCUUAAUAUCUGCACUGAUGAAAGAAUUUCCAUCAACAUUUGGGUUUUCUGUGAGCCAUACUACCCGUGCUCCGAGGGAGAGAGAGCAGAAUGGGGUCCACUAUCAUUUUACUGAACGAAGCGUCAUGGCGGAAGAGAUUAGAGAUGGAAAGUUUCUUGAGUUUGCUGAAGUUCAUGGAAAUCUCUAUGGAACCAGCAUAGAAGCGGUUGAGGUGGUUGCAGACGCUGGAAAGAGAUGCAUCCUUGAUAUUGAUGUUCAAGGGGCAAGGUCCGUGAGGGCUAGUUCUCUUGAAGCCAUUUUCAUCUUUGUUUGUCCUCCCUCGUUUGAGGAGCUUGAGAAGCGCCUUCGUGCAAGGGGAACUGAAACUGAACAACAGAUCCAAAAGCGACUACAAAAUGCAAAGGCUGAGCUUGAACAAGCCAAGUCACAAGGACUCUUUGAUCACAUGUUGGUGAAUGAUGACCUGGAGACUUGUUAUGCGAGCCUUAAGAAACUGUUGGACCUUGAUGAAGCUGUGGAGAUAAUAAAUGAAUCAUCUCCGCCAUUAGUCGACUUGCCAAGGGACCAUUCGGUAUCAAAGAUUGAUAAGAAGAUUCUCAUAAGUUGUGGCACUCGAGAAAGAGCUUCCAAAAACAUAUUUUUGCUGGAUUUGUCCUCACUCAAAGGAGGGGCACCAGGAAGGACAAGAGGGCUCGAUAUUUAUACCAGUGAUUCAAUGACAAAUGGCAUAAAUGGUCAUAAACCUUAGCCAACAUCAAUUUUCUACUUGACUUUAGUUUUCUCUUUCCUCUCUUCUUCAGUCUUUUUUCUUUUCAGUUAACCUAAGACAAGUUGAAGCUUUUCUGAAGUUCUGAUUCCCAUAAAGAAUCAGUUUUACUUUGAAAAGUCAUUUUUCUAAAGCAUAGAUGAUUUGGAGAGUGGCUGUAGAAGGAGAUGGAGAGCACUUGCAUGAAGUUGAAGUGAUUCAAGAGUAUGAAAUUGAAGGUGAAGGACCGUCGAUCAUGAAGUGAGCGAAUGAAGAUCACAGAUGUCUAGCAACUAAUUACGGUCAAGAAUUCAGUAGUGUAACAGCCAGAAGAUGAUCAUGAUGAACAGCGGAUUACAAAUCCCUGAUCUUUCAAAUCACAAUUGAUUUGAUUUAUGAUGGCUGCACGAGGCACAAUAUUUGAUUUCUAGGUGUAGCAGAGUAUGUAUGCCGACAAUAAUCGCGCUUUUGGCACUGUCCAUCAAAAGUAGUGAGAAAAUUGUGAUAUACACAGAAACAAGCAAGUUGUCCGUGAAGAAACAGUUGUUUGGCAAAUUUUACCAUCAAACGGAUCAAACAAUAGUGGGAAGGGAAUUUCCCCAGUGACUUCUUGCAAAGGAGGCACGGUGGGUCAUAAUUCAUGGACCACAAUAGUGUCAAUCACCACAACACGUUUGCUUCAAGAAUUAAUAAUCUUCCCUGAGCUGGAAGAAUUGCAGUUGAACAG